RNAcentral lists this ribosomal RNA (501 nucleotides) under uncultured bacterium. RNAcentral describes it as "partial 16S ribosomal RNA". It matches the Rfam family "Bacterial small subunit ribosomal RNA", at positions 30 to 523 of the family's 1533-position model. The record is from RNAcentral.
AUUGAACGCUGGCGGCAGGCUUAACACAUGCAAGUCGAGCGGGGGAAGGUAGCUUGCUACUGGACCUAGCGGCGGACGGGUGAGUAAUGCUUAGGAAUCUGCCUAUUAGUGGGGGACAACAUCUCGAAAGGGAUGCUAAUACCGCAUACGUCCUACGGGAGAAAGCAGGGGAUCUUCGGACCUUGCGCUAAUAGAUGAGCCUAAGUUGGAUUAGCUCGUUGGUGGGGUAAAGGCCUACCAAGGCGACGAUCUGUAGCGGGUCUGAGAGGAUGAUCCGACACGCUGGGACUGAGACACUGCCCAGACUGCGACGGGAGGCAGCAGUUGGGAAUAUUGGGCAAUGGGGGGAACCCUGAUCCAGCCAUUCCGCGUGUGUGAAGAAGGCCUUAUGGUUGUAAAGCACUUUUAGCGAGGAGGAGGCUACUUUAGUUAAUACCUAGAGAUAGUGGACGUUACUCGCAGAAUAAGCACCGGCUAACUCUGUGCCAGCAGCCGCGGUAA